UGACUCCUUAAGGGUCCUGAAGGAACGUUGAAGACGACGACGUUGAUAGGCCGGGUGUGUAAGCGCAGCGAUGCGUUGAGCUAACCGGUACUAAUGAACCGUGAGGCUUAACCUUACAACGCCGAAGGUGUUU
This 133-nucleotide ribosomal RNA is filed under the name Escherichia coli. RNAcentral describes it as "partial 23S ribosomal RNA". The stretch from base 1 to 115 matches the Rfam family "Bacterial large subunit ribosomal RNA", at positions 2807 to 2925 of the family's 2925-position model. RNAcentral also lists the same sequence under 1 other name. The record is from RNAcentral. Lineage: Bacteria; Pseudomonadati; Pseudomonadota; Gammaproteobacteria; Enterobacterales; Enterobacteriaceae.